GCCAGGUGCAGUGGCACACACCUGUAAUCCCAGCGGCUUGGGAGGCUGAGGCAGGAGGAUCAUGAGUUCAAAGCCAGCCUCAGCAAUCUAUUGAGGCCUUAAGCAACUCAGUGAGACCCUGUCUCUA
This 127-nucleotide small RNA is filed under the name Marmota monax (woodchuck). Lineage: Eukaryota; Metazoa; Chordata; Mammalia; Rodentia; Sciuridae. The record is from RNAcentral.